Solanum lycopersicum (tomato) is the source of this 828-nucleotide long non-coding RNA. RefSeq lists it as uncharacterized. The record is from RefSeq and is a predicted model, not a curated record. Lineage: Eukaryota; Viridiplantae; Streptophyta; Magnoliopsida; Solanales; Solanaceae.
AAUUAUUGAUUAAAACAGAAAACAGAAAAACAAGAGAGCUUGGUAUUUAAGAUAAAUAUAAUUAGUCCCCAAUUCCCGAACCCUACAACAUUACCUCUGUCUUUUUCCAGUUAAAACCCCUGCACUCCACUGCCGGCUGCCGCUUCUCGCCGUCAGUUGUCAGCGAUCAGCAACCUUUGAUUUAGAUGAUUCCCCAAUAUCUUUGUUUGAAUCCUUCCGAACAUUCAUAUGAUCAUGUAAAGAUUUUUUUCUAUUUUCAUCGUCCGAAUCAUAAAUUCUCCUAUUCGUAAAAGGAUACAUUAAUAUAAUGUAAUAGAACGAUGAACAAGAAGAAAAGAAGAAGAACGGAUGAUGGAGUAAGAAGAAGAACCAGAGACGGAUGAUGAGUAAGAAGAACCAGAGAACAAUGGUAGUUUCAAUUUUUAGAAAUUUCAGAUUUUUGAAAUUCAAAAUUGCAUAUUAAAUAUUGUGAAACGUGUUUAAUUAAAAGUAAUAAUUCAAAAUUUAAAAAGUGAUUUAAAAGAUUAAGUGCUUUAGUGGAGAAAAAAUAGGCAUGAUAUUGAAAAAACGUGUGUUAUAGGAGAGAGAAGACUAUGUAUCUCUAAACUUCUAUUAAAAUUAAAAAAAAAAGAAUUAUGUAAUAUUUAAAAAAAGAAGAAAAAAUUAGAGAAUACUAAACUUAUAGUUGUGUAUUUAAGUUAUUUUUCUUUACGAUGAUUUUUCUUAAAUUAAAAUCACAAAAAUAAAAUACCUGUCGUUGCUUAAAUUGACUCGUCUCUUUUUUUCAUUAAUUAUAUCAUGAGAUCUGUUCCCAACUUCCAAGAAGAA